RNAcentral lists this microRNA (21 nucleotides) under Chlamydomonas reinhardtii. RNAcentral's name for it is "cre-miR1151a-5p". Lineage: Eukaryota; Viridiplantae; Chlorophyta; Chlorophyceae; Chlamydomonadales; Chlamydomonadaceae. The record is from miRBase by way of RNAcentral.
UCCGGGGCUCAUAACCUGUUG